Molecule: ribosomal RNA, 678 nt
Filed under: Phlegmacium balteatibulbosum
Lineage: Eukaryota; Fungi; Basidiomycota; Agaricomycetes; Agaricales; Cortinariaceae
Description: eukaryotic LSU rRNA
Rfam family: 5.8S ribosomal RNA (bases 252-405)
Source: RNAcentral
GGAAGGAUCAUUAUUGAAAUAAAUCUGAUGAGUUGUUGCUGGUUCUCUAGGGUACAUGUGCACGCUUGUCACCUUUAUAUUUCCACCUGUGCACCUUUUGUAGACCUGGAUAUCUAUCUGGAUGCUAGCCAUUCGGGAUUGAGGAUUGACUUCAUGUCUUUUCCUUACAUUUCCAGGCCUAUGUUUCUUCAUAUACCCCAAUGUAUGUCAUAGAAUGUAAUCAAAUGGCCUCUGUGCCUAUAAACCUAUACAACUUUCAGCAACGGAUCUCUUGGCUCUCGCAUCGAUGAAGAACGCAGCGAAAUGCGAUAAGUAAUGUGAAUUGCAGAAUUCAGUGAAUCAUCGAAUCUUUGAACGCACCUUGCGCUCCUUGGUAUUCCGAGGAGCAUGCCUGUUUGAGUGUCAUUAAUAUAUAUCAACCUCUUCAGCUUUUGCUUGUCGAGUGUUGGAUGUGGGGGUCUUUUUUUUGCUGGUCUUCUCAGGUCAGCUCCCCUGAAAUGCAUUAGCGGAACAAUUUGUGGACCGUUCAUUGGUGUGAUAACUAUCUACGCUAUUGACGUGAAGCAGUUCGGCUUCAAACAGUCCAUUGACUUGGACAAAUUUUCAUUAGUGUGACCUCAAAUCAGGUAGGACUACCCGCUGAACUUAAGCAUAUCAAUAAGCGGAGGAAAAGAAACU